This 1285-nucleotide long non-coding RNA is filed under the name Olea europaea (common olive). RNAcentral's name for it is "long non-coding RNA (OEUR_LNC014320)". The record is from RNAcentral. Lineage: Eukaryota; Viridiplantae; Streptophyta; Magnoliopsida; Lamiales; Oleaceae.
AAAUACUGAAAUCUUAUUAGAUCACUUUUAAACGAGUUUAAUCGAAUUUGAUAACUUUUAAUUUAUUUUACAAUAAUUCACACAUAUAAGUCCACUCGAUUAAAAUUUGUUACAAAAGGCUCUUUCCCUUUCUAUCUCUUUGUUAGGCCCGCUUCUUGGUCCUCAACCUCAUCUGGUUCGACGAUUUUUAUGGCCGAAUUUGGUUCACCGUCAAUGGCUUUUUCUUAGACUCCGUGAUAGUGAGUUAUCUCUUUUGAGGAAGGGAGGAUCAGUAUUUUUCGUGAUAGUAAUCCACCUCUUCAUAAUUUUCUCUUUCUAAGUCUUCUCCUCUUUUCCCUUUUCCUUCUUCUUGGCUUUGGCAGUGGCGAUCUCUUUGGCUUCAGAUGGUAGAUGCGGGUCAACUAAUCGCUAUAACCUUGUAGGCCACAGUAUUGGUACUGAGAGGUUAAUUUUUCUUCCCUUGCAAGGCGCUUCAUGAAAGACAUGUUUGGCUUGACAUACUCUUUCUUAUCAUGUUGAUCUACAAAUAAUGUAGAUGCGUUAACACUUAAGCAUGUGAUGGCACCAAUAUAUCUAUGGAAGGAACUUUACCUUUGGAGGCCAUUAUUUGAUGGCUAACAGAAAAGUUCCUAUUUGAGAUGACUCGGUUUUAUGACCUCUGCUCAAUGGAAAGGUCGUAAAUAUCUCUAACAAAAUCCCACUUCUCUGGUUCUAACUCGAAUUGGUUAACUACUGUUAAAAAAAUGGAGAUAGAAAGAUGCUGACCAAAGCGUAAAAGGUACGGAGAAGUCAACGAAAAGAACUUUCUACACUCGUGAUAAUAGGUCAGAACCAUGACUCAGGCACCGCAUCGUUCUUUACUUCUUUACAAUCUGCCACCUGUCUCUAACCUAGAACUAAGAGGAAUUCCAAUUCUUUUUUUUUUUUUUUUUUUAUAUCCAGAUAUCCUAACUUACACCAGACUAAAUUCUGGACCUCCAAGACCCAUGUCCCUAGAACCUUGAAAGGGGUAAAUUGCGGGAUAUGUUUCAACUGGAUUACAGGUUCCCCCAUUGACUGUACACUUCUACGCACAAGAGACACUCCUCCACAGUGAUUGCUCCAUACCAAAUUUUUGGCCGCAGGUUCCCACUAGGAAUCGAACUCUCCACCUUACCGUUGGAGGCAAGCCAAUGUUGAUUGAUCCACCAGUUGAGUUGUGUCCCGAGGGGCAUUUCCAAUUCUUAAUAGAAGUGGGAGUGCCCAAGGCCAAAGGCGUAUGUAAACCCCCAUCGGUUCAUACAAU